UACGUAGGGUGCAAGCGUUAAUCGGAAUUACGGGGCGUAAAGCGUGCGCAGGCGGUUUUGUAAGGCUGAUGUGAAAUCCCCGGGCUCAACCUGGGAAUUGCAUUGGAGACUGCAAGGCUAGAAUCUGGCAGAGGGGGGUAGAAUUCCACGUGUAGCAGUGAAAUGCGUAGAGAUGUGGAGGAACACCGAUGGCGAAGGCAGCCCCCUGGGUCAAGAUUGACGCUCAUGCACGAAAGCGUGGGGAGCAAACAGG
This 253-nucleotide ribosomal RNA is filed under the name uncultured bacterium. RNAcentral describes it as "partial 16S ribosomal RNA". It matches the Rfam family "Bacterial small subunit ribosomal RNA", at positions 524 to 776 of the family's 1533-position model. The record is from RNAcentral.